Molecule: ribosomal RNA, 1544 nt
Filed under: Notospermus geniculatus
Lineage: Eukaryota; Metazoa; Nemertea; Pilidiophora; Heteronemertea; Lineidae
Description: bacterial LSU rRNA
Rfam family: Bacterial large subunit ribosomal RNA
Source: RNAcentral
GCUAAGUGGAAAAGGAGGUGUGAUUGCGCGGACAACCAGGAGGUUGGCUUAGAAGCAGCCAUUCCUUAAAAGAGUGCGUAACAGCUCACUGGUCGAGUAGUGAUGCGCCGAUAAUGUAAGGGGGCUAAGCGUGGCGCCGAAGCCGCGGAUUGAUUGAUUUGAUGAAAAUUGGAUUAAUUGAUGGUAGGGGAGCAUUCUGGAGGCUGACGAAGGUUUUUUGCGAGAAAGACUGGAGGCAACAGAAGAGAGUAUGCAGGCAUGAGUAACGAAAAAGCGGGUGAGAGUCCCGCUCGCCGAAAGCCUAAGGUUUCCUGGGUAAAGUAAAUCUGCUCAGGGUUAGUCGGCCCCUAAGGCGAGGCUGAAAAGCGUAGUCGAUGGGAAACUGGUCAACAUUCCAGUACUUCUUAUAAUUUCGAUGGGAUGACGCAUGAGGAGAGUCGUUGCCGGAGAACGGUAGUUCCGGUUCAAGCGUUGAGUCGUCGACCCUUGGCAGGCAAAUCCGCCAAGGCAGGCGAGACGCGAGGAGGAGUCGCCCCACGGGGCGGCGAAGAGCGAUGAUUCAGGGUGCCGAGAAACAGUCUCUAAGGUUAGGUUAUAAGGAACCGUACCGGAAACCGACACAGGCAGGCAGGAAGAGAAUUCCGAGGCGUACGAGAGAACUUGCGUUAAGGAACUCGGCAAAAUGCAUAUGUAACUUAGGGAUAAGUAUGGCCUACAUGCAAGCGACGAGAGUUGUUUGCGAUGAGGUUGCAGAGAAACGGCCUGAUCGACUGUUUAACAAAAACACAGGUCGCUGCGAAUCUGUAAAGAGAGGUAUAGCGACUGACACCUGCCCGGUGCCGGAAGGUUAAGAGGGGUUGUUAUUUCUUAGGAAAGAAGCGAUGAAUUGAAGCCCCGGUAAACGGCAGCUGUAACUAUAACGGUUCUAAGGUAGCGAAAUUCCUUGUCGGGUAAGUUCCGACCCGCACGAAUGGUGUAACGAAUUGGGCGCUGUCUUGACGCAAGGCUCGGUGAAAUUGGAAUAUCGGUGAAGAUACCGAUUACCCGUGGUUAGACGGAAAGACCCCGUGAACCUUUACUGCAGCCUGAUAUUGAGAAUUGAUUGUUCAUGUGUAGGAUAGGUGGGAGGCUUGGAUCUCCGGUCGUCAGGCCGGGGGGAGUCGUUGGUGAAAUACCACCCUUGAGCCGUUAAUUUUCUAACAUUUUUCGUGAAUCCGGAGAAUGGAAAGUGUCAGGCGGGCGGUUUGACUGGGGCGGUCGCCUCCCAAAGAGUAACGGAGGCGCGCGAAGGUCGCCUUGUCAUGUUUGGAAAGCAUGAUGUAAGUGUAAAGGCGUAAGGCGGCUUAACUGAGAGACUUACAAGUCAAUCAGAUACGAAAGUAGGUCUUAGUGAUCUGGCGGUGGAGAGUGGAAUCGCCGUCACUUAACGGAUAAAAGGUACUCCGGGGAUAACAGGCUUAUCUCCCCCAAGAGUUCACAUCGACGGGGAGGUUUGGCACCUCGAUGUCGGCUCAUCGCAUCCUGGGGCUGAAGCGGGUCCCAAG